RNAcentral lists this ribosomal RNA (612 nucleotides) under Enterococcus faecalis. Its description in RNAcentral is "bacterial SSU rRNA". It matches the Rfam family "Bacterial small subunit ribosomal RNA", at positions 828 to 1440 of the family's 1533-position model. Lineage: Bacteria; Bacillati; Bacillota; Bacilli; Lactobacillales; Enterococcaceae. The record is from RNAcentral.
GGGUUUCCGCCCUUCAGUGCUGCAGCAAACGCAUUAAGCACUCCGCCUGGGGAGUACGACCGCAAGGUUGAAACUCAAAGGAAUUGACGGGGGCCCGCACAAGCGGUGGAGCAUGUGGUUUAAUUCGAAGCAACGCGAAGAACCUUACCAGGUCUUGACAUCCUUUGACCACUCUAGAGAUAGAGCUUUCCCUUCGGGGACAAAGUGACAGGUGGUGCAUGGUUGUCGUCAGCUCGUGUCGUGAGAUGUUGGGUUAAGUCCCGCAACGAGCGCAACCCUUAUUGUUAGUUGCCAUCAUUUAGUUGGGCACUCUAGCGAGACUGCCGGUGACAAACCGGAGGAAGGUGGGGAUGACGUCAAAUCAUCAUGCCCCUUAUGACCUGGGCUACACACGUGCUACAAUGGGAAGUACAACGAGUCGCUAGACCGCGAGGUCAUGCAAAUCUCUUAAAGCUUCUCUCAGUUCGGAUUGCAGGCUGCAACUCGCCUGCAUGAAGCCGGAAUCGCUAGUAAUCGCGGAUCAGCACGCCGCGGUGAAUACGUUCCCGGGCCUUGUACACACCGCCCGUCACACCACGAGAGUUCGUGGCACCCGUAGUCGCUGAGUAGCCC